UAGGGAAUAUUGGGCAAUGGAGGCAACUCUGACCCAGCCAUGCCGCGUGCAGGAAGAAGGCGUUAUGCGUUGUAAACUGCUUUUGAUUGGGAACAAAUGCCCGCCGAGGCGGGAGCUGAGUGUACCAAUAGAAUAAGCCACGGCUAACUACGUGCCAGCAGCCGCGGUAAUACGUAGGUGGCAAGCGUUGUCCGGAUUUAUUGGGUUUAAAGGGUGCGUAGGCGGCUUUGUAAGUCAGUGGUGAAAGCCGGUAGCUUAACUAUCGAAAUGCCAUUGAUACUGCAGAGCUUGAGUACAGUUGAGGUAGGCGGAAUUGACAGUGUAGCGGUGAAAUGCUUAGAUAUUGUCAAGAACUCCGAUUGCGAAGGCAGCUUACUAAAGUGUAACUGACGCUGAGGCA
Molecule: ribosomal RNA, 400 nt
Filed under: uncultured bacterium
Lineage: Bacteria
Description: bacterial SSU rRNA
Rfam family: Bacterial small subunit ribosomal RNA
Source: RNAcentral